This is a long non-coding RNA of Lagopus leucura (white-tailed ptarmigan), 3161 nucleotides long. RefSeq lists it as uncharacterized. NCBI's taxonomy places the organism in Eukaryota, Metazoa, Chordata, Aves, Galliformes, Phasianidae. The record is from RefSeq and is a predicted model, not a curated record. The transcript has 2 exons.
CACUUCCCUUCUCCUCACUUCCCUUCCCUUCCCUUCUCCUCACUUCCCUUCCCCUUUCCUUACCUCCAGAACAUUCUUGAUGUUUGUAGAGGUGAAAAAAGUGAAGGAAGUGUAUAUACAUAUCUUUUUAACAAUCAGUGUAAAUACACAACUGUACUCGAUGCCAUUAAUGGAAAAAUAUUUAAAAGAUAAAAACAGGCCAAGCCCACUUGCUCAGUGAUAUACAUUUCAGAGCAUCUGCAAGUAAUCCGUUGUCAGUCAAAAGUAACAAGUGAUUGCUGUGCAGUUUUGAUCUUUGGUUGCCAAACCGAUCCUAAUUCAUGAAUGGACAUAAUGGUUAUUUUUCAAACUGAUUUUCAUUUAGUUUUGUAUUUGCAUUCUUUUUCUUCUAGUCGAACGUAUCUUAGCCCAUCAUCUGACUUUUGGCAUGUGAAUUUCCGCAGUGUUUCUUUUUUGAGUCUUAGGAUGGAGCUAACAUGUUUGAGUUAAUCAUACCAGCCAGUUCAGGAAGAACACCAGAACAUUAACUUCGUGGUUGGAUUCAGUCAGAUGUACCCAGUGGGCUUAAAGGAACUGCUGUGCCAAUGUAAAGCUGUACAGCUGUCAUCAGUCUAUGGGGGUACUCCAGGCAAGACUGAUGGGAUCAGCUGACUUUUUUCCAUACCCAAGGAUGCUUCUGAGAAUGCAUUAUGUUCUAGCUAAGCUGUGAGUUUUCUAAAAGGGCCAUGUAGUUGAGAUAUAUCUAUAUUUUUGGCAAUGGUUGACUGAGAGUUGAUUGAUGGAUUGACUGAAUUGUUUGAAUAAUAAAAAUAACCCUUCCUUCCCACCUUAAGAACAAAAGUCAGUUCCAAGACAGCGUUUCCCUCCAGAUAACUGUGAACCUUUUGCAUCCAUGUCCAAACACAGCAUGUUUUUGUGUAGUACUGUCACGCGUCGUGGUGCCUUUGCAACCUGGCUGACUUCUGCGUGUCCUGGUUCUUCUCUGCUAGAGGCACGAGAGGGAUCUGGCACAAUCAUCCUGGAAGGUAAAAGUCUGCUUUUGCUGAGCAAUCAAACUGAACAGUGAAACGCUGUGGAAAGAAAGGAUGAAGCCUUUGGAUGACUUCCCACAUCUGGCAUUUUUCUCUCUCUUUGGAUAAUUUGUUUUAACAUUGAUGUUCUUACUGUUUCUCUUUGAAAACCUAAAACAUUCUUUCCAACUUUGCCUUGUAGUUAAAGCCACGACUGGUGCACAUCUACUUCAGUCAAAUGUUGAUGAUGUCAAUUCUUAACGAGUCUUUAUACAGCUCAUAAAGGCUUUGAUAACCGUACUAGCUCUCUCUUCAUUUUGGAUUUAUGAACUGAUAUACAUAUAUAUAUCUAUAUAUGUGUGUGUGUGUGUGCGUGUGUGCGUGUGCAUAUAUUAAAAAAAAAAUGAAAAUGACAUUUUAAAUGUGAAGGUAUGAACUGGAACUAAUAGUAACCAGGGAAUUUAAAAUUCAGGCUUGUUCUUUGGAGCUUGAUCAUGGAAACAACAACAACAACAACAAAAAAAAAAAAAGGAAAAGAGAAUGGUUACUAUGUGCUGAAGUUUUAAUUUCACUGGUUUUUGUUAGUUUGGGUAAAAAUGAAGUUUUAAUGUCAUUUUAAGUACAGGUUUCUAAGAAUAACAAUAGUUUCCUUAUUUUUUUAACAGGAAAAAAAGGUCAGAAAGUUGCAAAAGAAGUAUUAAUUAUAAUACUUAACUCUUACAUAGUGCUUUAAGGGACAUAUUCUGCUCUUGGUUGUAGCAGAGUAAAUGAAUGUAAAAAUAAUUUGAAACAGGCAGAAGUGUUGAGAUUGACUUCACGUCAGUACAGGAUCAUACUCUUAAGACAUUUGCGUUCCAGUCAGAUGCAAUCUACCCUGGCACAGAGGACCACCAAAAAAGUUUAAAUCGCUUUGCUUACACCUAAGUGGGAGUUAGAUGGUACAAAUACCUUUGUUGCAAGUCUUGCUGCUCUGAGAGCAGAAUCCUUCCCCCUCUUCCAGACCAUGUGCAAAAAAUCUCUGAAGUAUUUUAGCUGACAGAUCAGAGUUUCCUGUCCCAUUAGAUUCUGCUAAAAGCUAUGAGAUAGAGUUCUCCAAGGAACUCUUUGCAUGCCAGAAGGACACUGAAGAGGAAGAAUGGCGAAGUCAGACCUAUCAGUGCUCUGAAAUUUGAGUUGGUGGAUCUCAGUCCAGUGCCUUAUGGGCAUGUGUCCACAACACCAAAACCACCUUUCAGUCAUGCACAAUGGAAAACUGGGUCCUCAGCUAUGUUAGAAUCAGUACAGAAAAACAUUGCUAUUGUUAGAACACAGCCACUUCAAUUUGGCUUGGAGUUUGGCUUCAGCACAGUAUUACUGCUGUUAUCAUUGUUUUUGCAUUCUCAGCAGGAGAGGCCAAGGACUGAAUAGCCCCAAAGACUUGGACUUGCCUCUUACAGAGCUAUGCUCUGGAGCAAGGAAAGUUGGAGGGCAGUGGAGAGGAAAUUUCUGCCGUUGCAAUCCUUGUGUUUACUGUUCAUUGGACAAACUGAAGUCCUUGGUACAUUUCACCAGCACUGAAUUUAUGAGAAGAAUUAAUAUAUCUCUACAUAUCUAAUAUAUAAUAUAUACAUAUUAUACAAACAACCCCUUCUAUUAUGAUUUCUUUUUAUUGAAAGUAUUGAUAUGCUUGCAAAAACUGUUCAUAGAAUCAUAGAAUGCCCUGGGUUGAAAAAGACAUCAAAGAUCAUCUAGUUUCAACCCCACUGCCAUGGGCAGGAUCGCCAGCCACCAGACCAGGCUGCCCAGAGCCACAUCCAGCCUGGCCUUGUUCCCCUUAGUCGGUCUGACUUUUUCAUUGUUACUGGAAAGAUCACUCUUCAAAUGUACAGAGUUAUCUAAACCAGGUUCUGAUGCCAUCGCACAAAUUGCUGUCUCAGAAAUCUUUAUGUUGAAUGUAAGCUGAAAUGUUGGACGUGUGCAGCCAUCUCUCACUGUGGCUGCAAUGUCUCUUCAUUCCAGAAUGGAAGAAACCCAAAGCUGGUUUGCUUCUAGGUGUCUGUAAAUAUUGAUUGAGUGCAACAGUGCUUUGUUUGAUUUUCACUGUGAAAUAUAUUUUGGAGCUAGAAAGGCAUAUGUUAUUAACAGUAUGUAAUUAAAAGAGAAACAAAAGUG